AUUAAACGCUGGCGGCAUGCCUUACACAUGCAAGUCGAACGGCAGCACGGGGUUUACCCUGGUGGCGAGUGGCGAACGGGUGAGUAAAGCAUCGGAACGUGCCCUGGAGUGGGGGAUAACGUAGCGAAAGUUACGCUAAUACCGCAUAUUCUGUGAGCAGGAAAGCAGGGGAUCGCAAGACCUUGCGCUCUGGGAGCGGCCGAUGUCGGAUUAGCUAGUUGGUGGGGUAAAGGCCUACCAAGGCGACGAUCCGUAGCGGGUCUGAGAGGAUGAUCCGCCACACUGGGACUGAGACACGGCCCAGACUCCUACGGGAGGCAGCAGUGGGGGAAUUUUGGACAAUGGGCGCAAGCCUGAUCCAGCCAUGCCGCGUGAGUGAAGAAGGCCU
RNAcentral lists this ribosomal RNA (388 nucleotides) under uncultured bacterium. Its description in RNAcentral is "bacterial SSU rRNA". It matches the Rfam family "Bacterial small subunit ribosomal RNA", at positions 29 to 417 of the family's 1533-position model. The record is from RNAcentral.